AGCGAACGCUGGCGGCGUGCCUAACACAUGCAAGUCGAACGUGAAAAGGGAGACCUGAGUAAAGUGGCGUACGGGUGAGUAACGCGUAGGUAAUCUACCCCAGAAUCUGGAAUAACCUGCCGAAAGGCGGGCUAAUACUGGAUAGAGCGAGGGAACUCGUAAGAGAGUUUUUCGGGAAAGGGAGCCCGCAAGGGCCUUCGUUCUGGGAUGAGCCUGCGUCUCAUUAGCUAGUUGGUAAGGUAACGGCUUACCAAGGCGAUGAUGAGUAGCUGGUCUGAGAGGAUGAUCAGCCACACUGGAACUGAAACACGGUCCAGACUCCUACGGGAGGCAGCAGUGGGGAAUCUUGCGCAAGGGACGAAAGUCUGACGCAGCCACGCCGCGUGAGUGAAGAAGGCCUUCGGGUUGUAAAGCUCUGUCGGAUGGGACGAACAUCUUCAUAGUGAAUAGCUAUGAGGACUGACGGUACCAUCAAAGGAAGCACCGGCUAACUCCGUG
RNAcentral lists this ribosomal RNA (498 nucleotides) under uncultured bacterium. RNAcentral describes it as "partial 16S ribosomal RNA". It matches the Rfam family "Bacterial small subunit ribosomal RNA", at positions 29 to 507 of the family's 1533-position model. The record is from RNAcentral.